Molecule: ribosomal RNA, 468 nt
Filed under: uncultured bacterium
Lineage: Bacteria
Description: partial 16S ribosomal RNA
Rfam family: Bacterial small subunit ribosomal RNA
Source: RNAcentral
GGCGAACGCUGGCGGCGGGCUUAACACAUGCAAGUCGAACGGAAAGGCCCUGCUUUUGUGCUGUUCUCGAUUGGCAAACGCGUGCGUAACAGGUGAGUAACCGGCCCUUCACUUUGGGAUAACUUCAGGAAACUGGGGCUACUACCGUAUAGCAUCCCCUGCUGCAUGGUGAGCGUUGGAACGUUUCGGCUGGGGGGGAUGGACUCGCGGCUUAUCAGCUUGUUGGUGGGGUAGUGGCUUACCCAGGCGUUCACGGGUAGACGGCCUGAGAGGGUGACAGGCGACACUGGGACUGAGAUACGGCAGCGACUCCUAAGGGAGGAAGAAGUGGGGAAGAUUGCACAAUGGGCGGAAGCCGGAUGAAGCAACGCCGCGUGUUGGAUAGCGGCUUUGGGGUUAUAAAAAGGUUUCGCGUGUGACGAAGCGUGAGUGACGGUAAUGGGUAAAGUAGCACCGGGUAAAUAUGUU